AGAGUUUGAUUAUGGCUCAGGAUGAACGCUGGCGGCGUGCUUAACACAUGCAAGUCGAACGGAGUUUUUAACGGAAGUUUCGGAUGGAAGUUUAAGAACUUAGUGGCGGACGGGUGAGUAACGCGUGGGUAACCUGCCUCAUACAGGGGGAUAACAGUUAGAAAUGACUGCUAACACCGCAUAAUAUAGCGAAACCGCAUGAUUUUGCUAUCAAAUAUUUAUAGGUAUGAGAUGGGCCCGCGUCUGAUUAGCUAGUUGGUGGGGUAAAGCCUACCAAGGCGACGAUCAGUAGCCGGCUUGAGAGAGUGACCGGCCACAUUGGGACUGAGACACGGCCCAAACUCCUACGGGAGGUAGCAGUGGGGAAUAUUGGACAAUGGGGGAAACCCUGAUCCAGCGACGCCCGCGUGAGUGAAGAAGUAUUUCGGUAUGUAAAGCUCUAUCAGCAGGGAAGAUAAUGACAGUACCUGACUAAGAAGCCCCGGCUAACUACGUGCCAGCAGCUGC
RNAcentral lists this ribosomal RNA (507 nucleotides) under uncultured bacterium. Its description in RNAcentral is "bacterial SSU rRNA". It matches the Rfam family "Bacterial small subunit ribosomal RNA", at positions 8 to 518 of the family's 1533-position model. The record is from RNAcentral.